UGACCGCGCACUACACAGAGGACUACCAGGAGCAGCAGCUGCCCGACAACCCCGAGCGACUACAGUAAAUGGUGAUGAUGGUGCAGCUCCUGUGUGGACAUGCUCUGUUACAACAACACAACACCGAGCCAGAAGACGAAGCCGUAACAUAAGCAGCAGUUGCUGUUGAAUGACCGUGCUGACCUCCAAGCUGAGCUAUGGCAAGGCAGUGAACACAUCAGUGGUUUUGGACCAACCAGCUCUCCAACUGCAUCACUGAAUCGGUGGAACUGCACAAACUACAAGUCUGCUGCGC
Long non-coding RNA from Engraulis encrasicolus (European anchovy), 295 nucleotides. RefSeq lists it as uncharacterized. Lineage: Eukaryota; Metazoa; Chordata; Actinopteri; Clupeiformes; Engraulidae. The record is from RefSeq and is a predicted model, not a curated record. The transcript has 4 exons.